AUUUUUAAAAUUAUUAGAAAUUAGAAAUGUGCCUUUUUUUUGUCCGAUUUUGUUUUUUGGUAUUUUUUGAUGUAUAGAUUUUGAGAGUUUUUUAUCUUUAUUUUGAUGAGAAUUGACAUACGUAUGCUAAAAUAUGUUUUGGAGGCAAAUUUAGAGAGUUGGCACUCCAAUUAAUGUGAGAUAUGCUUUUGGGUUGAAAUGUACCAGAAAGUGUGGUGCAAAUAAAGCAAACACACACUAACACAUUGGUCACAAAGUUUAUUUACAGACCAGAGCGAGGUUAUAGCCAUUACAUAUAUAUGUGUGUGCAUAUAUAUUUAUAUAUAUAUGCAGUAGUUGCUUAAUAGUCUUGAACUAAAUCUAAUAGAUCUUGUCCAUCCACGAAGCAAAAGGGACCUACUGCACAGUCGGAACAGCCCACCACGUACGGUUCCCAAGUCGGUGGAACGUAAACAUAACAAUGCAGUGAAAUCAAUCAAAACUGGUGAUCUUACUCAGAACGCAAAACGGCGACGUUGAACUCAGGCGCUGAAGUAAUUGCGGGGUGAGAAGAGGCGACGAGGUGAGAACAUGCCGGUGUAGCGCGGCGAGGCGAGGCUAUUGAUGGGUCUAUAAUCAGGCAUGAUGAAGGAUUCACGUUCCUCGCGGCCCACACCUCUGCUGUUGAGUCCAUUGAAGGUGCUAUACCUCACCAGCUUCCCCAUCCACGACUUCUUCUUCGUGGGGCUCUGAUGGCCCGCGUUCAUCUUCUGGCACAGGUACUCCUUCACCGCAUGCAAUCCCUGCUCCAUCACUUCCGGCGGCGGCGAACUCAGAGGGUUCCCUUCCACGCUCAGCUUGUGCAACUUCUUCAGGCACCCAACGGAGUCCGGCAAUGAUCUGAUCUUGUUGUAGCUGACGUCUAGUUCCACCAGGGAUAGGAGGAGCCCCACCGAGUAGGGUAGAGAAUCCAGGUACUGGAAGUUCUGGCUCACAUUCAGAGUUUCUAGGUUUAUCAGGUUCUCGAGAUCUUCUGGGAGAGAUCUCAGGCAGUUCAAACGCACGUCCAGAAUCUUCAGAGCGGUCAGAUGAGAGGUCGAGCGAGGAAGGAACACCAGCUUGUUAGAGUUCACCGAUAGCUUCUUCAGGUUUAUCAGCUCGUACCCUAUGUUCUCUGGAAGCUGGAUCAACUUGUUGAAGUUCGCAUUCAGUUCUUCUAAGCUUCUGCUAAUUCAAAAGUCAUAAUGUAUUAGCCACAGAAAAUGGUAAUCACAAUUUUCUUAACCUUUCUUAACAAAAAUGUUUUCCAUAAGUACCAAACAGUUAACUGCACAUUUAAGGUUGUCUGUGAAAUAUAUACAUAUCACUGAUGCCUGUUGGUCGUUGAUUUUGAUUUUGUUUGUAGCGCUCCUUACUCUAGUUUGGUCAAUAACUACAUAUAUACUCGCGUAACUCAUGCAUGCAUGUCUCCAAAAAUUACAACGUAAUUGAUAAUGUUAGGUUUUGAAGGAUAAGAGUAUUAUGUGGUUGUUGAUGUGUUGAUUGGAUUGUGCUUUCAUUUGAACGAGGGUAUGCAAAUAUCUAUUGUCUAUUUGUCGUUUGGUGAUGAUGUCCGGUGGAUUCUUGUAACUAGGAAAACGAUGUUUGAGCGAAUACUAUUGUUUUAGAAACUUGUUGGAAGAAUAAUGGUUUUCCACGGAAUUAUCACUUAUUGAUUGACUUUCUCUCCCGUUGUUUUAAGAAUUUUGUAUUGGCCUGUGUCCUCCACCUUUUGUUGUUUUUAAGCUAGUCAAUUAGGUAAUAAUGACACCCAAAGAAAACGAAGGAUUUUGAUUUUUGCCCGCUAUUUGUGACAACGGCCCACAAUGAAUGCUUAGAAAUUCUAUUUUUUACGAUUGAUUUUCUAAAUAGAAUAACGACUCGUGUACGUUGAAUAAAGUUUAAAUAUAUUUAAGGCUACACUUUUUUCCCCUUAUAUUAUCUUCACAUAUAUUUUAUUAAAUGGGUAGGUAUAUUUUUAAUCAGUAGACAUUAAUAAUCAAUUAUUUAUAACGCUUUCAAAUCUACUCCUGACGUGGAAUUUCAUUAUUCUUACACAUAUCCUUGAUGCCCUAGCCAGUAGUAUCAAGAACAGGUAAAAUAAAAUAAAAUAAAAACACACAUACAACAGAAAUUAAACUUCAUCAUAGCAGGGAAAGCAAGUUACUGAAGUGCUUUAGAACUGUUUUGUGCACUAUGUGUUGUUUAACUAACGUAAAGGUGGAAAGCAAGUGUAUGACUCAAACUAAAAUGGAAUCAUCAAGACGUUUGUGUCCAGAAUUAAUUAGUUAAAUUUAUUAUUAAACUGUUAUUAGAUUUGACUAAUACAAUAUUUAAAUUGAAAACAUACACAUAAUCAAUUAUUGGUUUUAAUUAAAACACGGACUUGAUAAUAUACAUGUUUCUUGUACCUAUGAAGAAAAAUGUAUAGAAUUAAUUAAUUUGUUAGGAAACGUAGAAAGAGAUGUUAAGAGAUGAACCUGCAAUUUUCAAUUGUUUUGGGAAGGUAUUCGAUGAGGUUGCCAGAGACAUUCAAAACCUUGAGCUUUGAGAGGCAACCAAUGGAGUUGGGAAGGUACCUAAGCUGAUUGGAGUGCACGUCCAACACCACCAUGUUCAGCAGUCUCGCUGUUAAGGACUCUGGUAUAUUCUGAAGAUUGUUAUUAGAGAGGUCCAACUUGCAAAUGGUGGCUAAAUUAAGAGAGGGGUUGGGAAGGGAAUCCAAGGACAUGCCACUCAAGUCUACUAUUUCAAGCCUCUCUUCCUCUACGGCUUUCCUUCUCUCGGUUUUCUUUCUCAAAUCGACCUUCACAGACAUGGGCUGCUGAAAACGUUGCUGUUGCUCGUACAUCAUCUUGUACCACCAAAUAAAUGAAAUACAGCAACAGAGUAGAUACUAAAAUCUGUGUUGUGUUGUUUUGUUUUUCAAUAUGAAAUGGUAGGCCUGAAAAGAAAGAGAGAGAAUGGGGGAAGGGAAUGGAUUGAAGGGUGGAAAAAAGAAGGGAGUGGUUGGGUUUAUAUGGAGAAAGGAAAGAGGAUGUACGGAGGAGAAGGAAGAGAAGAGCGGAGAGUGCGGGCCACAUGUAAG
This 3106-nucleotide small RNA is filed under the name Vigna angularis var. angularis. RNAcentral describes it as "Non-protein coding transcript". The record is from RNAcentral. Lineage: Eukaryota; Viridiplantae; Streptophyta; Magnoliopsida; Fabales; Fabaceae.